AUCGGAGCGAGAACAGUUGUUAGGGUUUUUUAUUUUGAAAUCGAUUUGUUUACCUGUUGUUCUUGGUUGUCCUUUAGUUGUUAGGGUUUUUGAUUUCAAAAAUGAUUUGUUUAUUUUUUAUAAAUUGAAACCGCUUUUGUUAUGUUUUUUAAGGUUGAAGUAUUUGGUUCUAAAAUUCAGCAGGUUAUAGGUAAAGAUCAAUCCAAUCAAAUCCUCACUGUUGUUCCUCUCUAUCUCCAAACAAAAACUCGUGCUCCUAAUGAUGCAGCGGACGCCAUGCUCUGAGAAAGCGACUUGAAGAGCUUGGAUACGAACUUAAAGACAACCAUGUUGAGAGUUUGUUUUGGCGUUUCAAAGCUGUGUCUGAGCAAAAGAAGAGGAUUAGUGAUGCUGAUUUCAAAGCAUUGGUAUCAGAUGAAGUUUUUCAGGCGGAGCCUAUAUGGAAGCUAUCAAUGUUUAACAAGCUUUCAAUGUUUUAUAUUGCCAUUUUUCUCGGCAGUGUUGCAAAGCAUUUGGAAUCAGCCAAUACUAUGUUGUCAUUUAUUUGGUGGAUUAUUGGAUUCUACUGGUUAUCAGCUGGUGGUAAAACUUUAUCCCAAGAUUCUCCUCAGCUUUACUGGUUUGUCCUCUUUCACUAUCUCAUUCAAAUUGUUCAAACAUGUUUUCAUUUCGAUUUCUUAAUCUUUUGGCAGGUCAACUGAUAUUUACUUAUUUUAGUUGAAUGCUUAUGACAUAAUAAUUGGUAUCGCUAUUUGCUGGUGUCUUCCAUGUAUCAUUGCACUUCUUCAGGUGUAGAUUGGUUUAUUGAAUCAGUUCUGACUUUGUGAUGCAGGUUCGGUCCAAAUAGCAAGAGCAGAUUGGUUCAUUGAGUCAGUUCUGACUUUGUGAUGCAGGCUCGGUCCAAAUUGUUGUUGUGGUAGAAUGGAUAUUUCGGUUUGCUUGGAUAUUUCUGAAUUUUGAUUAGGUGCCUGGCUGUAAUUGGAUCAUGUACAAAUCAAAAAGGAACAACACUUCACAAAUCGGAAUUUCAUAGAAGCGGUAAGCAAACAUUGAGUUUCAUUGUAGAUCAUAAAAUCCAUUAUAUUUACAAGGUAUAGAAUUGUAUUUUUUCCUUUUUCCAUACUGUGAUGCCACUGGUGAAGCAAUGUGAAGAGGUUAUGGUGCACUUUAAGAUGGAUAACAAGUUGUUUGACACGAGUAAGAAUGUGGAGUUAACGUAUCCAGGGCAGCACAAUGAUGUAGACAUCUAUAU
Molecule: long non-coding RNA, 1252 nt
Organism: Vicia villosa (hairy vetch)
Lineage: Eukaryota; Viridiplantae; Streptophyta; Magnoliopsida; Fabales; Fabaceae
Exons: 3
Source: RefSeq, a predicted model, not a curated record